GACGAACCGAGCGAACGUUGUUCGGAAUCACUGGGCUUAAAGAGCUCGUAGGCGGUCUGUCGCGUCUGCCGUGAAAACCCGAGGCUUAACCUCGGGCUGGCGGUGGAUACGGGCAGACUAGAGGUAGGUAGGGGAGAAUGGAAUUCCCGGUGUAGCGGUGAAAUGCGCAGAUAUCAGGAGGAACACCGGUGGCGAAGGCGGGUCUCUGGGAAACAACUGACGCUGAGGAACGAAAGCGUGGGUAGCAAACAGG
Molecule: ribosomal RNA, 253 nt
Filed under: uncultured bacterium
Lineage: Bacteria
Description: partial 16S ribosomal RNA
Rfam family: Bacterial small subunit ribosomal RNA
Source: RNAcentral